UAGCCCAUGACUGCCUUAGUGUAAAGGAUGGGGCUCCAAGCUGAAGAUAAAACCUUGUCGCAAUAUGAUAUAGGUCUCCUCCAUGAAUGGCAGCUGGCAGUUGAAAAUUAGAGGGAGGGUGAUACCCUACAAGCAACAAAAUGAACAGAACGCCCAUUUGGAAUCCACUGCUUACCAAUGCCACUAAAGUAAUGUAACUUCUAGCCACCAAACACCUCUCUUGAAAAUUUGACUCCUACCGAGACCCUUGUGACUUGGAGAGCAUCCAUCCAAUGGUGUUAUAGAGAAGAUACAUCUGUUGCAUUGCCUUCCUUCUGUCUUUAAUUUAGCACAUUAGAUAACCACAAAGGUCAAGCAGCCCUUAUCAGCAAAUGCCUCCUUAAUGAGCAAUGCCUGGCUCUGCCUUGCACGUUCAUUAUGGCUCCUGUAAAGUUGGACACUUUUCCAUUCCUCGUUGUAGAAAUUUAUUUG
Molecule: long non-coding RNA, 471 nt
Organism: Hemiscyllium ocellatum (epaulette shark)
Lineage: Eukaryota; Metazoa; Chordata; Chondrichthyes; Orectolobiformes; Hemiscylliidae
Exons: 3
Source: RefSeq, a predicted model, not a curated record